Hyla sarda is the source of this 639-nucleotide long non-coding RNA. RefSeq lists it as uncharacterized. NCBI's taxonomy places the organism in Eukaryota, Metazoa, Chordata, Amphibia, Anura, Hylidae. The transcript is spliced from 3 exons. The record is from RefSeq and is a predicted model, not a curated record.
UGAAAUACGGUUGAGCUGGUCCCUAGAAGAAAACAAGGAGAAACAUUUUUUUCUGUGUGUUAUGUUACAAGGGUGAAUUUUAAGUUUGAAAACUGGCCACUAGGGGUCUCCCUUCUAAUGGCUGACUGCAGCACGGUGUGACGUCACGCCUGAAUUCGGACCGAUUGCGGACGGGUAAUCGGUCCUCGCUCCCUGCCUGCGACUCCUCCUGCACAUGUCGCCGCUGCUGCCCCUGCACGCCUGCUGCCGGACUCUGCAGUAUCAGGAUGGCUUACUGUACCAUGGAAUGGUUUCCCACAUUAUCACACCAGCAGCAGUGGCUACAUGUUACUCCACAGCAAAGGCCGGAUGAAAACAUUCACCAUGAAGCCUCCAUACUCGAAUCUCAUCUUUGUUGGAUCACAAAGUGAACUUGGAUUUGUUGCUAUAGAUGAUAUGGUUACAGACUGUAGCAAUCCAGAACACUGGACCAUUGUAUCAAUAAAAGCACUUUAUGUGUUCUGUCUCAACCCCGUUCCUCAUAGUCUAAGUUCUCAUGAGCAGGGCCCUUACUCCUCCUGUUUGAACAGUUAGUGUAAAAUAUUGUUAUGUCUGAUACUUGUCUUUAUUUGUACCCCAAAAUUGUAAAGUGCUGCGGAA